GGCUGGUCCGAUGGUAGGUUCUCAGAACUUGCUAACAUUAGUGUCACUAAAGUUGGUAUAUGACCCCCCACUGCUAAUUUGAGUGGCUAUAA
This 92-nucleotide non-coding RNA is filed under the name Propithecus coquereli (Coquerel's sifaka). The record is from RNAcentral. Lineage: Eukaryota; Metazoa; Chordata; Mammalia; Primates; Indriidae.